This 508-nucleotide ribosomal RNA is filed under the name uncultured bacterium. RNAcentral describes it as "partial 16S ribosomal RNA". It matches the Rfam family "Bacterial small subunit ribosomal RNA", at positions 28 to 507 of the family's 1533-position model. The record is from RNAcentral.
GACGAACGCUGGCGGCGUGCCUAAUACAUGCAAGUCGAACGCUUCUUUCCUCCCGAGUGCUUGCACUCAAUUGGAAAGAGGAGUGGCGGACGGGUGAGUAACACGUGGGUAACCUACCCAUCAGAGGGGGAUAACACUUGGAAACAGGUGCUAAUACCGCAUAACAGUUUAUGCCGCAUGGCAUAAGAGUGAAAGGCGCUUUCGGGUGUCGCUGAUGGAUGGACCCGCGGUGCAUUAGCUAGUUGGUGAGGUAACGGCUCACCAAGGCCACGAUGCAUAGCCGACCUGAGAGGGUGAUCGGCCACACUGGGACUGAGACACGGCCCAGACUCCUACGGGAGGCAGCAGUAGGGAAUCUUCGGCAAUGGACGAAAGUCUGACCGAGCAACGCCGCAUGAGUGAAGAAGGUUUUCGGAUCGUAAAACUCUGUUGUUAGAGAAGAACAAGGACGUUAGUAACUGAACGUCCCCUGACGGUAUCUAACCAGAAAGCCACGGCUAACUACGUG